Molecule: long non-coding RNA, 788 nt
Organism: Cydia splendana
Lineage: Eukaryota; Metazoa; Arthropoda; Insecta; Lepidoptera; Tortricidae
Exons: 2
Source: RefSeq, a predicted model, not a curated record
ACUAUCUACUUCCAAAUUUUAUCGCAUGAAGUGCCUAAAACUUCAUGCUUGCAUGCACUUCUACGGAGUUCUUUCUAAUACUAAAAUCUGCGGCGGAAUGUGUUUUCAUAAUUUGAGAAGGCUGAAUUAAAAUACAAUCAAAAAUAUGAUCAAAUAAUUAUAUUUAUUACUAAGCACUGAUUUCUCAAUCCACUAUAUUACCACUUUUACAAGAUAAAAUAAUUUUAAAGUCGGCAAAUAAUAAGUUACAUGGCAAGGCCAGAUAUCGAUACAUCAAUUAACCAACAAAUGUUUAGUAAUUUAAUUAAUUAACCAAAAUUAGUAAUACUCUACUAUAGCACUCGAUAAUAGAACUUGCAAAUUCCUUAUUUAAUGUUAAACAAAACUAUACACCCUUAUAAUUUUCACGCGAAUGAAUGAUUUGACCGUAAGGAAUUCUUACAUGUUCUAUUGUAGAGUACUUUUAGUUAUAAUUGCAUUUAGAUGUCAAAAUUUUAUUUUGAUCGAAUUUCUAUCACAGGAAACAAGAUGCCAAUUUGAAUAGAAAAAUUUCAAUAAAAUGUUCAUUUAAAUAUAAUGGAUACAUAACUCUUUAACUUCAACCCAAACGUAAUAAAAUAAUAGACCUCUCACCGGAAUAGUCGAGAACAAAGGCGACUUUUAUACAAAAGGCUCAUGCAAAAAAUACACAAUUACAUACAAUCACUUUUUGCAAAAAAUAUUCAUCUAUUUUAGAUUUUUCUUUUUUUUAAUGAUUUUAAUUUACAUUUAAGACUUAAAAAAGUAUA